GUAGAUAUAGUUUAACAAAAAUAUUAGAUUGUGAUUCUAAAGACAGGAGUUAAAAUCCCCUUAUCCACC
RNAcentral lists this transfer RNA (69 nucleotides) under Sebastes melanostomus (blackgill rockfish). Its description in RNAcentral is "tRNA-His". It matches the Rfam family "tRNA". From Rfam's summary of the family: Transfer RNA (tRNA) molecules are approximately 80 nucleotides in length. Lineage: Eukaryota; Metazoa; Chordata; Actinopteri; Perciformes; Sebastidae. The record is from RNAcentral.